GAUGAACGCUGGCGGCGUGCCUAAUACAUGCAAGUCGAGCGAACAGACGAGGAGCUUGCUCCUCUGACGUUAGCGGCGGACGGGUGAGUAACACGUGGAUAACCUACCUAUAAGACUGGGAUAACUUCGGGAAACCGGAGCUAAUACCGGAUAAUAUAGUGAACCGCAUGGUUCAAUAAUGAAAGACGGUUUUGCUGUCACUUAUAGAUGGAUCCGCGCCGCAUUAGCUAGUUGGUAAGGUAACGGCUUACCAAGGCAACGAUGCGUAGCCGACCUGAGAGGGUGAUCGGCCACACUGGAACUGAGACGCGGUCCAGACUCCUACGGGAGGCAGAGGUAGGGAAUCUUCCGCAAUGGGCGAAAGCCUGACGGAGCAACGCCGCGUGAGUGAUGAAGGUCUUCGGAUCGUAAAACUCUGUUAUUAGGGAAGAACAAAUGUGUAAGUAACUAUGCACGUCUUGACGGUACCUAGUCAGAAAGCCACGGCUAACUACGUG
RNAcentral lists this ribosomal RNA (497 nucleotides) under uncultured bacterium. RNAcentral's name for it is "partial 16S ribosomal RNA". It matches the Rfam family "Bacterial small subunit ribosomal RNA", at positions 28 to 507 of the family's 1533-position model. The record is from RNAcentral.